UUCCACCCCAUCAUGGCAGACUGGGCUUACAGGUGAUCAGAGUCACAACUCCCACAUGGGUCACAAAGAUGGGAAUGAGCAGGAAUCAGGAUAAAUAACUCUGACUUCAGCCAAAGAGUCCUGUGCUUACAGUUCAAGAACCUGAAAUUUAGGAAUA
This 157-nucleotide long non-coding RNA is filed under the name Dromaius novaehollandiae (emu). Its description in RNAcentral is "lncRNA (ENSDNVG00000017826.1)". The record is from RNAcentral. Lineage: Eukaryota; Metazoa; Chordata; Aves; Casuariiformes; Dromaiidae.